UACGUAGGGUGCAAGCGUUGUCCGGAAUUAUUGGGCGUAAAGGGCUCGUAGGCGGUCCAUCGCGUCGGGAGUGAAAAGCUGGGGCUCAACCCCAGUCCUGCUUUCGAUACGGGUGGACUAGAGGUAUGCAGGGGAGAACGGAAUUCCUGGUGUAGCGGUGAAAUGCGCAGAUAUCAGGAGGAACACCGGUGGCGAAGGCGGCCUGCUGGGCUGUUGCUGACGCUGAGGCGCGACAGCGUGGGGAGCAAACAGG
RNAcentral lists this ribosomal RNA (253 nucleotides) under uncultured bacterium. RNAcentral's name for it is "partial 16S ribosomal RNA". It matches the Rfam family "Bacterial small subunit ribosomal RNA", at positions 524 to 776 of the family's 1533-position model. The record is from RNAcentral.